This 806-nucleotide long non-coding RNA is filed under the name Fukomys damarensis (Damara mole-rat). RNAcentral's name for it is "lncRNA (ENSFDAG00000022643.1)". Lineage: Eukaryota; Metazoa; Chordata; Mammalia; Rodentia; Bathyergidae. The record is from RNAcentral.
GUUAUUUUAUAUUUGUAUGAAAGACCAGUUUUGAAUGGUUUUUCCAUAUGAGAGGGGAAGAUUAGCAGUAGUUUUACUAUAUACAGUCCUUUUCACUUUCAUGAAUUUGUCAUACACCUUUCUGAUGCUUGAUUUUAUUUUCCUCCUAGCAAUAGUCUGCAUUUAGAAGCCGGGUGUGGUGGUGCAGGCCUGUACUCCCAACACUCAGGAGGCUGAGGCAGAAGGAUCUCAAGAGUUCAGAGCCAGACUGGGCUCCGUAGUGAGUUCAAGACUUGUCUGAAAUACAUGGUGAGAUCCUGCCUCAAAAAACAAAACCAAACAAAAAGUCUACAUUCAGCAAAAGUACCUGGAGCCUCCAGCUCAGAGCAGACAAGCACCUGGAAAAACAGGGAAGAAAAGUUUUCUGUGACAAGUUUUCUUUAGCUACUCACUCACCUCAGCUCACAAGACAAGGUUUUAUAACAAGUACCACACACCAGCACAGGCCAAACAGUUCUACUGGAGCGGUGGAAUCACCACGAUUGUUUUAUUUUUUUUCUUUCUUUCUUUCUUUAUUUUUGUUUUUUUGUUUUUUUAAGAUAGGGUCUCAGUAAGAAGUCCAGGCUGGCCUUCAACUCAUUAGGUAGCUCAAGCUGGCCUCCUGGAACUUCCAGUAAACUUACUGCCUCAGCCUCCUGGGCCUGUAAUUCUUGCUAGGAUUGUAGGCCUGAGCUACCACACUCAGCUUAGCCACUACUAUUAAAUUCCCAGAAAAAAAUUCUGGGAAUGCAAUUUCUCCUCUUAUUGUCACAAAAUAAAGGAAACAC